UUGCCAUGAUGACUUCCAGUGGGUUUCGCAUAUUGCUGAGCUCCAAUGAUGACUCUUCUCUUGGCUGUCUGAGCAG
Molecule: small nucleolar RNA, 76 nt
Filed under: Echinops telfairi (small Madagascar hedgehog)
Lineage: Eukaryota; Metazoa; Chordata; Mammalia; Afrosoricida; Tenrecidae
Description: Small nucleolar RNA SNORD53/SNORD92
Rfam family: Small nucleolar RNA SNORD53/SNORD92
About the family: U53 is a member of the C/D class of snoRNA which contain the C (UGAUGA) and D (CUGA) box motifs.
Source: Rfam by way of RNAcentral